GGCCCCUCAACUUGAGAUUCACAAAGAAAAAAAGCAAUGUCUCCUCGCUGAAAGCAAAAUGGAAGCUCCUCCUUGCACAGUGCAGCCCCUUCCUCACUGUAGGUUAUUCCAAGUGAGAAGAGUAAACAUGACUUCUAAAUGCCAUCUAACGAUAUAUGCAUAUCUAAAGGAGACAAGGAUGACUGAAUGCAUCUUCAUGUGUAGGAAGUGAAGUGUCUGUUGACAUUAAGUACUUCUUCAUGAGUGAGAGGAGGCCCAUGAUGGAGAUGACACCAGUACCUCCUUCUAGCACUCUGAAUUCCCAAUGUUUACUACUGCUGUCUCUGAAACUGCAGCAUCCUCACCAGGACCACACAGGGAACAAAGGCAAGA
Molecule: long non-coding RNA, 372 nt
Filed under: Homo sapiens (human)
Lineage: Eukaryota; Metazoa; Chordata; Mammalia; Primates; Hominidae
Description: non-protein coding lnc-KALRN-3:4
Source: RNAcentral